AUUGAACGCUGGCGGAAUGCUUUACACAUGCAAGUCGAACGGCAGCACGGACUUCGGUCUGGUGGCGAGUGGCGAACGGGUGAGUAAUACAUCGGAACGUGCCCAAUCGUGGGGGAUAACGUAGCGAAAGCUACGCUAAUACCGCAUACGAUCUAAGGAUGAAAGCGGGGGAUCGCAAGAACUCGCGCGAUUGGAGCGGCCGAUGGCAGAUUAGGUAGUUGGUAGGGUAAAUGCCUACCAAGCCGACGAUCUGUAGCUGGUCUGAGAGGAUGAUCAGCCACACUGGGACUGAGACACGGCCCAGACUCCUACGGGAGGCAGCAGUGGGGAAUUUUGGACAAUGGACGCAAGUCUGAUCCAGCCAUUCCGCGUGCAGGAUGAAGGCCCUCGGGUUGUAAACUGCUUUUGUACAGAACGAAAAGGCUCUGGUUAAUACCUAGGGCUCAUGACGGUACUGUAAGAAUAAGCACCGGCUAACUACGUGCCAGCAGCCGCGGUAA
Molecule: ribosomal RNA, 500 nt
Filed under: uncultured bacterium
Lineage: Bacteria
Description: partial 16S ribosomal RNA
Rfam family: Bacterial small subunit ribosomal RNA
Source: RNAcentral